This 470-nucleotide ribosomal RNA is filed under the name Amblygobius sp. NMBE 1066520. RNAcentral's name for it is "partial 12S ribosomal RNA". It matches the Rfam family "Bacterial small subunit ribosomal RNA", at positions 868 to 1528 of the family's 1533-position model. Lineage: Eukaryota; Metazoa; Chordata; Actinopteri; Gobiiformes; Gobiidae. The record is from RNAcentral.
UUCGCCAGGGAACAACGAGCCCCAGCUUAAAACCCAAAGGACUUGGCGGUGCUUUAGACCCCCCUAGAGGAGCCUGUUCUAGAACCGAUACUCCCCGUUCAACCUCACCCUCUCUUGUCCUUCCCGCCUAUAUACCGCCGUCGUCAGCUUACCCUGUGAAGGCCCCAACAGUAAGCAGAAUUGGCACAUAGCCCAAAACGUCAGGUCGAGGUGUAGCGUACGAGAGGGGAAGAAAUGGGCUACAUUUACUGGACCAGUACAUACGAACCCUGUUCUGAAAAUGACAGGUGAAGGAGGAUUUAGCAGUAAGGGGAGAAUAGAGCGCCCCCCUGAAACCGGCCCUGAAGCGCGCACACACCGCCCGUCACUCUCCCCGAAAAACCAUAACAAAUAAUUAAAACCCUGCCAUUAAUAGAGGGGAGGCAAGUCGUAACAUGGUAAGUGUACCGGAAGGUGCACUUGGAAAAACC